GGAGACGUGGCCGAGUGGUCGAAGGCACGCCCCUGCUAAGGGCGCAUACCGCAAGGUAUCGAGGGUUCGAAUCCCUUCGUCUCCG
Molecule: transfer RNA, 85 nt
Filed under: Sulfitobacter guttiformis
Lineage: Bacteria; Pseudomonadati; Pseudomonadota; Alphaproteobacteria; Rhodobacterales; Roseobacteraceae
Rfam family: tRNA
About the family: Transfer RNA (tRNA) molecules are approximately 80 nucleotides in length.
Source: Rfam by way of RNAcentral